AAACCUUGAUCUGUGAAAGCGGGCGUUUUGGAAGAUACCGGAAGUAGAGUCACGGAGAGGUAUUAAGAAAUGGAGAGAAAAAUAAGCAGAAUCCAUCUUGCUUCUGAACCCAAUAUAACUCAUUUUCUACAAGUAUCUUGGGAGAAAACACUGGAAUCUGGUUUUGUUAUUACACUUACUGAUGGUCAUUCAGCAUGGACUGGGACAGUUUCUGAAUCAGAGAUUUCCCAAGAAGCUGAUGACAUGGCAAUGGAAAAAGGGAAAUAUGUUGGUGAACUGAGAAAAGCAUUGUUGUCAGGAGCAGGACCAGCUGAUGUAUACACGUUUAAUUUUUCUAAAGAGUCUUGUUAUUUCUUCUUUGAGAAAAACCUGAAAGAUGUCUCAUUCAGACUUGGUUCCUUCAACCUAGAGAAAGUUGAAAACCCAGCUGAAGUCAUUAGAGAACUUAUUUGUUAUUGCUUGGACACCAUUGCAGAAAAUCAAGCCAAAAAUGAGCACCUGCAGAAAGAAAAUGAAAGGCUUCUGAGAGAUUGGAAUGAUGUUCAAGGACGAUUUGAAAAAUGUGUGAGUGCUAAGGAAGCUUUGGAGACUGAUCUUUAUAAGCGGUUUAUUCUGGUGUUGAAUGAGAAGAAAACAAAAAUCAGAAGUUUGCAUAAUAAAUUAUUAAAUGCAGCUCAAGAACGAGAAAAGGACAUCAAACAAGAAGGGGAAACUGCAAUCUGUUCUGAAAUGACUGCUGACCGAGAUCCAGUCUAUGAUGAGAGUACUGAUGAGGAAAGUGAAAACCAAACUGAUCCCUCUGGGUUGGCUUCAGCUGCUGUAAGUAAAGAUGAUUCCAUUAUUUCAAGUCUUGAUGUCACUGAUAUUGCACCAAGUAGAAAAAGGAGACAGCGAAUGCAAAGAAAUCUUGGGACAGAACCUAAAAUGGCUCCUCAGGAGAAUCAGCUUCAAGAAAAGGAAAAAGGGAGGAAGAAGGAGACUUCAGAGAAAGAGGCCGUGUGUUGGAAGCAAAAUCAGAGAGAAAAGAUGCUAAGCUGCUGCCUUUGAAUAAGGAGGAACGUGAGCCCACAGAUCCAAUAACUGAAGCUCUAGGCAGUGGAAAAGCCAAGGAAACUGAUCUUCCCUUCGAGCCUCCGGUGGGAGUGUAGCCCUGCCAACACCUUUAUUUUAGCCCCAUAACAGUCAUUUCAGACUUGUGGCCUCCAGAAUUUUAAGAGAAUGAAUUUUUAUUGUAUUAAGCCAU
This 1243-nucleotide small RNA is filed under the name Pan troglodytes (chimpanzee). RNAcentral describes it as "processed transcript". The record is from RNAcentral. Lineage: Eukaryota; Metazoa; Chordata; Mammalia; Primates; Hominidae.